GACGAACGCUGGCGGCGUGCUUAACACAUGCAAGUCGAACGAUGAACCCGGAGCUUGCUCCGGUGGAUUAGUGGCGAACGGGUGAGUAACACGUGAGUAACCUGCCCUUGACUCUGGGAUAACUGCUAGAAAUGGUAGCUAAUACCGGAUACGACCCUCGGAGGCAUCUCCAGGGGGUGGAAAGAAUUUCGGUCAAGGAUGGACUCGCGGCCUAUCAGCUAGUUGGUGAGGUAAAGGCUCACCAAGGCGACGACGGGUAGCCGGCCUGAGAGGGUGACCGGCCACACUGGGACUGAGACACGGCCCAG
Molecule: ribosomal RNA, 308 nt
Filed under: uncultured bacterium
Lineage: Bacteria
Description: bacterial SSU rRNA
Rfam family: Bacterial small subunit ribosomal RNA
Source: RNAcentral